GACGAACGCUGGCGGCGUGCUUAACACAUGCAAGUCGAGCGGUAAGGCCCUUUCGGGGGUACACGAGCGGCGAACGGGUGAGUAACACGUGGGUGACCCGCCCUCAGCUCUGGGAUAAGCCUGGGAAACCAGGUCUAAUACCGGAUAUGACUCCAUGACGCAUGUUGUGGGGUGGAAAGCCUUGUGCGGCUGAGGAUGGGCCCGCGGCCUAUCAGCUUGUUGGUGGGGUGAUGGCCUACCAAGGCGUGGACGGGUAGCCGGCCUGAGAGGGUGUUCGGUCACACUGGGACUGAGAUACGGCCCAGACUCCUACGGGAGGCAGCAGUGGGGGAUUUUGCACAAUGGACGAAAGUCUGAUGCAGUGACGCCGCGUGGGGAUGACGG
Molecule: ribosomal RNA, 384 nt
Filed under: uncultured bacterium
Lineage: Bacteria
Description: bacterial SSU rRNA
Rfam family: Bacterial small subunit ribosomal RNA
Source: RNAcentral